UUUCAUUCUCCUAGGAGAGCAGAGAUGUAAUGGCAUCAUCCUGAGACAUGGGAAUUGAGAACAUGUUUAAUGGUGGCAGACAGGGUCUGUGUGCAGGCUGCAGAGGUACUGGGUGCUCAGAGCUGGGCAGAGCCACAGAGGUGGUGAUUUUACUCUCUUAGGUGGCUGCAUCUCCCAUCAAUGUCCUGUAACCAUGGACAGUAGAUGGGGGAAUGGAAAGGGGCAGCCCUUAUCUCCCCCUGCAGGAGCUCAGAUUCCCUGCUGCCACACUCUGCCAGCAGUGCUGUGGCUCACCGGCCUUGCCUAUACCUGGCAUUCGCUUUAGUCCAUCUUGCAGGCACGCUUCCAUGCCGGGUGUGUGGUUUGCUCAGUCUGUGCUAAUUACGCCCUUGACAUAUGCAGCAGAACUGCUUGUGUCUAUAACAGCACAGAGGUGAAGGAGGUUAAUUAACUCAGAGAAAGGAAGCUGAGUGUCCCUACAUAACACCCCCUUCCAUAUGCGUUAGUUUUGAAGCCUGGAGACACUGUUUAACCAAACACAGCCCAUGACUUACUAACUUUCUUGUUUCCUCCCUCUCUUCCCUGUGUUACCAACGCUAUAGGUGGAUGGUGCUGAAGCCAGUGAAAAGCUCACAGAAACAGCAGCCUCUCCUGGGAAGAUACCUCCUCAUGGACGAGUGAUAAGCCUUUCCCCCAGAGUGCAGGUGCUAGGCUGCAGAGAACAAGGCACAGCACACUCUCCUGGCUGCUCCAGCUUGUGGCAGCCCUCACUGAACCCACUGCGAUGGGAAUCGCUGUACAAGGUGCCCAUCCCUCACUUCAAGCCUGCGUUCCUCCUCCCCACCACUCCCAGCUUCCAUCAGCAUCCUACAGUGCUGUCCUUCCCUUUUGGCCUACUGGCAAGGAACAAGGAACAAGGAACAAGUCCAUCCUGGCAUAUAACCACCGUGCAGAGCAGCUGCCAUCCCCAGCCCCAGCACCCUGCAGACAGACCUUCCUUGGAGCCAUGCAUGGUGUGUAUUUGGUUGCGGAGUUCCUCCUAGAAAUGCAUCGGUUUGGAGAUUCCUACAGCCACGUGGGACCUGAUUGGAUAAUGAAAAUCUCAUCUGCAGUUGGAUCUGCUGUUUGAAGAGGAAUGUAUCAAUUGG
Molecule: long non-coding RNA, 1148 nt
Filed under: Gallus gallus (chicken)
Lineage: Eukaryota; Metazoa; Chordata; Aves; Galliformes; Phasianidae
Description: long non-coding RNA NONGGAT003066
Source: RNAcentral